Budorcas taxicolor (takin) is the source of this 812-nucleotide long non-coding RNA. RefSeq lists it as uncharacterized. Lineage: Eukaryota; Metazoa; Chordata; Mammalia; Artiodactyla; Bovidae. The transcript is spliced from 3 exons. The record is from RefSeq and is a predicted model, not a curated record.
CGGGGAGGCUGCGGCGGGCGCGCUGGCAGAGCGGCCGGGGCGGGCGGCCGGCGGGGGUCAGCGUCCUGCGGCGGCUGGAGGGGCGGCACCCACGUCCAACGGAGGUAUUUAAUGUGCCUGGGAGAUCUGCCAGGAAAGUCACUGAAAUCAAAGCAAACAGCCAACGCAAAGGAGCAGAAAGGAAUUGAUGGGCUAAGGAAAACAUGAGGGCUGCUUGUUCCUUGCAGAUGAGCCUAAUGAGGUGCUGAAGGAGUUGUGGAGUUCUGUGCUCCGGGCCGCAUCACCUACGCCAGGCAGAGAUGGCACAGAGAGAAGAAAGGGACACGGCUCCCAGGCGCCCUGCCACGGAAUCCCCUGUGAACCUUAGCUCCUUCCACAAACUGGGAGAAUGCUUCCUUUUGCUCAGAAGCCUGAAGCAAAGGAUCUCGGGUGCUUGGGGUCCUUGGAUGACUGCCUCCCCAGAAGCCUUUCGGGGGAAACAGGAAGAGGCGGCUUCUGACAGGAGCCAGCUGUGACCCAAGCUGGUUCCUCUUUUCAGAGAUGUCAAAGCUGAGACUCAGGGCAGAGCUGGGAUUCCAGAGAUGGCCCUCCUGGCAACUCACACCUGGAGCAGUGACCACGCCUCUCCCCCUGCAGGGAACUGGAGGACUCAUGGGGCUCCUGUCCCUCCAGUUUUAAUCCUCCUCUGUAAUCAAGUUAAGCUCGGUCCUCGUGGAAUGGCAAUGUCACGAUCACCAUCUGCUUUUCUGGGCAGCUUUAAAAUACUCUAAGUUAGCAGGCUCAUGUACUUUUGAUAAAAGGAAAUAACUUUU